RNAcentral lists this ribosomal RNA (407 nucleotides) under uncultured bacterium. RNAcentral's name for it is "partial 16S ribosomal RNA". It matches the Rfam family "Bacterial small subunit ribosomal RNA", at positions 28 to 526 of the family's 1533-position model. The record is from RNAcentral.
GACGAACGCUGGCGGCGUGCCUAAUACAUGCAAGUAGAACGCAGUUGCCAACGGGUGAGUAACUCGUACGUAACUGCCUCAUAGCGUGGGAUAACUAUUGGAAACAAUAGCUAAUACCGCAUACUGUUAUCUUGACCUGCGUUGUAUUAGCUAGUUGGUGAGGUAAAGGCUCACCAAGGCGACGAUACAUAGCCGACCUGGUAGGGUGAGCGGCCAAAAGGGGACUGAGGCACGGGCCAGACUCCUACGGGAGGCAGCAGUAGGGAAUCUUCGGAAAUGGGCGGAAGUCUGAACGAGCAACGCCGCGGGAGUGAAGAAGGUUUGCGGAUCGGAAAGCUAUGUUGUUAGAGAAGCGGUAACUAAACAGAAAGGGACGGCUAACUACGUGCCAGCAGCCGCGGUAAUAA